UCUGGGACAAGCCCUGGAAACGGGGUCUAAUACCGGAUAACACUUCUUCGGGCAUCUGAAGAGGUUAAAAGCUCCGGCGGUGAAGGAUGAGCCCGCGGCCUAUCAGCUUGUUGGUGGGGUAAUGGCCUACCAAGGCGACGACGGGUAGCCGGCCUGAGAGGGCGACCGGCCACACUGGGACUGAGACACGGCCCAGACUCCUACGGGAGGCAGCAGUGGGGAAUAUUGCACAAUGGGCGAAAGCCUGAUGCAGCGACGCCGCGUGAGGGAUGACGGCCUUCGGGUUGUAAACCUCUUUCAGCAGGGAAGAAGCGAAAGUGACGGUACCUGCAGAAGAAGCGCCGGCUAACUACGUGCCAGCAGCCGCGGUAAUACGUAGGGCGCAAGCGUUGUCCGGAAUUAUUGGGCGUAAAGAGCUCGUAGGCGGCUUGUCGCGUCGGAUGUGAAAGCCCGGGGCUUAACCCCGGGUCUGCAUUCGAUACGGGCAGGCUAGAGUGUGGUAGGGGAGAUCGGAAUUCCUGGUGUAGCGGUGAAAUGCGCAGAUAUCAGGAGGAACACCGGUGGCGAAGGCGGAUCUCUGGGCCAUUACUGACGCUGAGGAGCGAAAGCGUGGGGAGCGAACAGGAUUAGAUACCCUGGUAGUCCACGCCGUAAACGUUGGGAACUAGGUGUUGGCGACAUUCCACGUCGUCGGUGCCGCAGCUAACGCAUUAAGUUCCCCGCCUGG
This 727-nucleotide ribosomal RNA is filed under the name Streptomyces sp. RNAcentral describes it as "bacterial SSU rRNA". It matches the Rfam family "Bacterial small subunit ribosomal RNA", at positions 137 to 876 of the family's 1533-position model. The record is from RNAcentral. Lineage: Bacteria; Bacillati; Actinomycetota; Actinomycetes; Kitasatosporales; Streptomycetaceae.